Long non-coding RNA from Lathyrus oleraceus (garden pea), 892 nucleotides. RefSeq lists it as uncharacterized. NCBI's taxonomy places the organism in Eukaryota, Viridiplantae, Streptophyta, Magnoliopsida, Fabales, Fabaceae. The record is from RefSeq and is a predicted model, not a curated record. The transcript is spliced from 2 exons.
GGCCCAAGUCUCCAAACCCGGAUCCCACCAUGAACUAACGGAUCCAGCCAAAGACUCGAAGAACUAUUUCGUCUCCCUCAACAUGAAACGCGACAUGAUGAAAUGGCCGCAAAUCACCACUUGCCAGAGCUCGAUUUCUUCGUCUUCAAAACAUGCGCUCAAGAACUUCAUUCAAACUCACACGAAGAAACGAGACUGAAGGACCAAAUCACGCGCGAAGUAGAAGCAGUUGAAGAAUGAAUAACAUACCGGAUUUGACGUAAACUCCAGCUCAUGUAGGGUCAAUGCAGCUUGGUGGACUUGGUCAUGGCUUUAUAGCUUUUGACUUUGGUGGUGCAUUCUGCAGAUGGCAUAUCCAUUUCAAUUCUGACUUUGUUUAUUUCAUGCCUUGCCUUGGUCCAUGGUUGGGUAGACUUGGUUCUAGCAGCUUGUAGCAUGGUUAUGGAGUGCAUGUCUUGAUCAUGGAUUUACUUUUAGUUCAUGGCCAUGGUUCUCAUUUGUGCAUUUCAUUUAUUCUAACUCCAUUCAUCAUGCCACAAUUUAUAGAGUUCAUGUUCUGAUUUGGCUCAUGUUUUGCCUCUUGCUUAUGUAGGUAAUUUGAACAAUGCAACAUGACACAAAGAUUGGAUCAUGUACAAAAGACAAGAAUCCAAAGGUCAAGGAUAAAAUAAUAAAGAUUAGGCAUGGAAUUAGGAUUAGGGUUAUAGAAAUUGGGAUCUUAGGAAAUUUGGGUUGAUUUUGGUCAAAGUUGACCAAAAGGUCAAUUGUUGACCAAAGUCAACAUUUGGUCAACAUUUCCACCUUUUUGUAAUUCCUCAUGUAACAAACACUUUUAUACUUUGUAAUGGAAAUUGAUAUUUAUGAAUGAAGUAAGAUUGGAUAUUGAAUUGAA